GAUGAACGCUGACAGAAUGCUUAACACAUGCAAGUCGAUGGGGAAGUGGUGCUUGCACCAUGGUAACCAUGGCGGACGGGUGAGUAACGCGUAAGGAACUUGCCUGCGGGACUGGGAUAACAGCAGGAAACUGCUGAUAAUACCGGAUAAGGUCAUUAAGCUGCAUAGCUUAGUGAUGAAAGGAGACGCCUGCGGAGAGCCUUGCGUCCUAUUAGCCAGUUGGAGGGGUAACGGCCCACCAAGGCGAAGAUAGGUAGCCGGCCUGAGAGGGUGGACGGCCACAAGGGGACUGAGAUACGGCCCUUACUCCUACGGGAGGCAGCAGUGGGGAAUAUUGGACAAUGGGGGCAACCCUGAUCCAGCAAUUCUGUGUGCACGAAGACGGUUUUCGGAUUGUAAAGUGCUUUCAGCAGGGAAGAAGGAAGUGACGGUACCUGCAGAAGAAGCGACGGCUAAAUACGUG
This 463-nucleotide ribosomal RNA is filed under the name uncultured bacterium. RNAcentral describes it as "partial 16S ribosomal RNA". It matches the Rfam family "Bacterial small subunit ribosomal RNA", at positions 28 to 507 of the family's 1533-position model. The record is from RNAcentral.